CCACUGUGGAAUGCUGCCCUUCAUAAAAGUGACCUUGUGCUUCGAUUCUGAAAGUGUCUUUUAAGAUUAGGUUGGACGCUAAUUCUCAAGAAGGACGCUGUUCUCUCCAGGUUGGUGUUCAUUUUGUACCUCUCAAAUCUCAAGCCUCAUAGGUGAGUAAAGUAACUGAAGACAGAGUGUGCUUCAGAAAUGAAAACAGCUUGAUCUUGAGGAAGUCUGCAGUUUCAAGGAACAAAACAAACUUCAAUCAUUUUAGGAAGGGAAAGUCACCAAAACAAAUGCAAUCUGUGGUUUUAAAGGGAAAGGACUGGCAGGUGUAGAUGAAACCGAGCUCCCUUCCUCAGAGGGCAGCACACUGUCCUCGGGAGAGAUGCGGAGUUAGCCGUGGUGACGUGCUUCUUCCCGAGGGGCCAGGAAUGAGGGAGCAGCCUAACUGGUGUGGAAUGCUUUGGUUUUCUGGUUUUGUUUGUUUGUUUUGUUGUUUGUUUUUUGUCUCCUUAAAACUUCAGAAGGUAAACCGCAAGACUGAGGAAGCUAAGCAACGCGUUGCUUAAUCCACACGUCAGAGGCUCCGGAAGUGGCCCCAAGUCUUGCAGAUUCAACAAAACAGUCCCCUUUCACCCUUCCAAGGUUGCCCCCUUGGUUCCCCCUCCCCCUUGGAAGUCUUCUGUUGGCUUCUGAAGUUAUGACCCUAAAUCAGACUGCUCUGGUUGGGACGAUUGGUCGGAGCGUGAUGCUCUCCAGCUGGGGACCAGGCAAAGUAGAGUAGCAGGAUAAUUAGCCUUUUACAGGAAAGCCUGCUGACCCUUGAUAUCACUGCAUUCUCCGAAGGCUUUGGAACCAGGCCCUUGGCAAGCUAACUACAGACGAGAGAACUGUCCUCCACAGUGAACUCUCUUCUGAUCCCGCUUGAGCUUGGCACAUAGCCUUGCGUGCGACUUCUUAGACAGAACCUCGGAUCUUACCAUUUUCUAAGGAAAUUGGUGAGUAAAGAGGUUAUCAGUGGUUGUCAGUCUUCUCUGAGAGGAUGGACCAGAAAUGAAAGGAAAAUGCUUCAGACUGCAUGAAGAAGGAGGCUGCUUUGUGUAGGAAAGGGCUAGCCUGCAGUCCCAGGACUUUGAAAGCUCUGUCUCAAAGUGGCGUCUCAGGCAAGCUGGAGAUCAAGUUUUGAGGUUUUUUUUCAUUAUCAUGCAAGAGCACUUCUACUGCCUUCUGCCUCCAGCACAUUUUUACACUUAAAAGCAAAUUCAAAUUCUUUGAAGAUUAUAAAAAAGAGAAAGAAAGAAAAAAAAUCUUAAUGCUAAACAAAAUUUAGUCUCACUAGGAAAGUGGUUGAUAAAUAAUACACUCCUACUGCGAAUAUAUUUUCAUACUGUUAAAUAUUUAUUUAUUAAGAAGUAAUAUGUUUCUGAAUACAUCUCUUUUGAUAAUCUCCCCAGUAUGGGAAGUAUGCGCUCGUGUAUACACACACACACACACACACACACACACACACACACACACACACACACACACACACACACACACACUAGAAUGAAUGCUUUGUAGGUAAGAGGAAAAAAAUUUCUCCGACAGGUUCUUGAGGAAAAUGGCUGAGAAUGCCAGCUGCUUUGCUUUAUCUCAAACAGGUUUAUAUCCUCCAAUAAUCUACCCAAAGAGGUGUGUGUGUGUGUGUGUGUGUGUGUGUGUGUGUGUGUGUGGUGUGCUUAGGCUGAACUACGUUUCUGACAAUUCCUGUAUGUCUCUGAGUAGAGUGAACUAUCAAGAAAGGCUUUAAUGAGGGACAGUGAGGGAGCCACGAAACACUAGUUUUUAGCUCCCUCAGGAUUUUCUGCUGGCUGGGCUCUCCACUGUGAGGCAGGUCCCUGACUUGAAGGAAAUCUGACAGAGAGAUAGCUAUUUGUCUCCUUAGCUUCUUCUUCUUCUUGGUUCCUUCCCUGAUGAGUACACAGUAACCUUUGCUGUGGAAAGAAAAAGCUGGUAAGAGAUUUGUAUGACAAAGGGCGGGAAGCUAAUCGCAGAGAUAUCUAAGUGUUUGGCAAGGGGCUUGUACCUGAGGCUUGAUGUGCAACCUGCAUCAUGACUGGGACCCAGGGAUUCCAAGUCCAGAGUACGACACAGGCAGUAGAGCGUAUGAUCGAGAAGAUGCAGAGGCUCUUACGCUGCCAGUUUUGGAGCAGCUUGACGAUGAUGACUCUUUUGUGAGAUACCUUUUUGUCUUGCUACUGGGCCACAGUUGAGACUGAGUCCUUAGGAAAGGAUCACCGAGUCACAGUGUGACCUCAGCUAACCCGACUAGUGUUUUCUGUCUUUAGAGUUCAGUCCUCAUUGUAGCGCUGAGAGGUUAAGUGCAAGCAGGCUUGGCCUUGAGCGUGUGGGAAGGCAGUAUAUGCUGCACGAACAAGGAGCUUAUAUACCCAGGUCCUACUUGUAUUGAUUUGAUCUUUCCCUCAGCCUAUGCCAGUGAGCCUCAUGGGGGAGCUUAAAUGAAAGAGGAAUGAGAAAUCCAAGAAAUCCAACACCAGGUUACAGACAUCACUCUAAACCAGACAGCUAAAACUAAAAUACAUGCUAGAGCCCACUCUCUGUUGGGCCUGGAUGUCAGUGGUUAGGGCAAACCUUCCCAGUGUGGGAGACUUUAAAUUCAAUAUUGAUUAUUCCUUUUGCAAGAAAGGAACAUGCUAGUGCAUAGAAGCAUAAAUAUAUAGCAACUCAUGUCCCAGGGAUUAGAAGGAACAUGAUUUUAAAACUAUAGAAAAGGAAAUCUGACAGAGAGACAGCUAUUUGUGUACUUGUGUUCCGCAACAGCUGGAAUUGGCUUAAAUAUUCAUGUUUUGUGAAAAUUCCCCAUGAAGGAGGGUUUUAACUGUCAAAUGGAUCCGUUUACCCAUUGCUUGUCUCAGUCAGCUUUUCCCCAGCAACUGCUGUCAAUCAUGACAAUGAUGGUCGUGGAAAAGAUGGACGUUACUUACACCUGGUCACAGCAACGUGGACCUCUACAUGCUAUGACCUAUCUAGCCUUACUUUCUGCCAUUGCCUAGUCUUCAAAGAGCCAACAACAAGCCCCUGUUAUGGCACCAUAUCAAGCUCCUAGCUAGACAUCUAUUAGCAGAUUAAUUUACGCCAGAUCAUUUUCCUCAUGGUAGUGGCACAUGUUUUCUCUUACUAGAACAGAGACUCACUGUGAAUACAUACUUGACUCCCCUACGCACAGUAUUUCUGCUAACUGCACCUUCAGGCCCAAAUACACAAUGGUUUUCCUACAGUAUCACUUGUGACCUGGACUUCUUUCAUGGCAAAUGAGGUACAGAAAUGGGUUUAUGCCAACUGUUGAUCUUACUGUGGUCUUCAUUAGCUUGAUAGAUUGACAGAAUGUUCUUUUGAAGGCCCACUUACUGUUCUUUGAGAUGCGAAGUUUGACCUAGGUCAGCAUGUAAUUCAUAGUUCUCUUUCUCCUGUAGUAGGAUUUAGGAGUCAGGAAAUCAUAUCUCACUACUACAACUAGUGAUCUACUGAGCGCAACUCAGUAUUAGCAUUCCCGAGGCAUCAGGCUCUCAUGGACUAGGGGUAUUAGUUUUAGAAAGAGGAAGGCUUCAGUCCAAAACAUGAGUUGAUUGAGCUAGGGUGUCCCAGGGUUUCUUGAUUCAUGACAUCAAAUCCACAGACAAAAGGGGAGCGGUUUUAAGGAAACCGUAUCUACAUGAGAAAGUAAAGGCAAGCCUGUGCUAAGGAACUGGAGAUCUUAGAGGUUGCCCCCAGUCCUCUCUUAACUGCAAUUAAAGGCAAUAGGAGACCAUUACUCAAUUAGCAGAACUGCUAAUGACCCAGACUGUCUGAGAAAAAAGAUUUGGUUCACAUCAUUACAUAGGGAUUCACCACCAACUCAAGUGUUCACUGGGAGGGAAAUGAAUAAGGGAGACUAUAACAGUUCAUCUGUGGUCAUGUGAUUAUGCAGACAUAAAUAAUAAUUAUGGGUCUUUUCAUUUUGUUAUGGUUGUCUAUGUAUAUGUAAUUAAGCGAGUAUGCAUGUCCCCUCUAUUAUCUUUGUACGUCUUCUCACUCAUCUCCUUGUCAUGUGAUGUGUAAUAGCUUAAUUUGUAUAGGAUAGAAUGGCUACUAAAGGGGAAGUGCACAUUAGCCGGUGAUAGGGUAACAUCUUCCAGAGUCAAGAAAAAGAGCCCUAGAGUCCCUUCUGGAGGAAAGUUGUGUGUGAUUUUUGGUUGUAUUUGGGAGACAUAUCAUGGUGGGUGGGGACAGCUGCACGACCUUAACAUGGAAUUGAAUGCUACACAAGGAGAGAUAGAGUUCAGACUGGCAAGGUGCGGCUAUUUAGUGGGCAAACAUGACUAGGCUGAAUUCUGUCUCCCAGAAUCCCCUUUCCUGUGUUUUUCUGGGUAGGUGGGCCAUGGUGUGAAUCCUGGACAAGAACUGGAGGCAGAACCAAGCGGCAGUUACUUUAGAGCUCAGAAUGCUGUCUUUCGUUGCUUGCUCAUCUCUUGUAUGAAGCAGCAGCUAGACCUGCCAUCCUCUGGAUGAUCCUCUGGAAGCUUCUAGAACUUUCCAGCCAGGUCUGAGUGUGUGUGUGUGUGUGUGUGUGUGUGUGUGUGUGUGUGUGUGUGUAGGGCACUGCUCCUGUAGAACACCAAAUAGUCAAUAUAAAAAUCAUUAAGAGGAAAUGACAGAUUUUUGUCUUUAUGAGUUCCAAAUGUAUCCUAUGUUCAUCCAGUCUUUCCUUCUUUAUAUUCGUUUUCUUUUACACAAAAUAUGCCCAUAGACUUCAAUCUCAAUCAGCAGAUGUGAAGACAAUAGCCUCACAGAGGUGGUUUACUACACCCCAUAAUUUUGGAAGGUUAAAUCCUUCACCUACAUGAUAGGCACGCACACACACACACACACACACACACACACACACACACACAAAUACACACGCACAUGUCUACCAUUUUUUGCUUCCUUUAUUAAAACAUGAUAGUUUUUAACUUUAAAAUAUUAUAUCCUUUUACAUCAUUUCUUCCCUUUCUUCUCUCUAACCCUUACCACAUUCUUUCCUGUCAACUCUCAUGCCUCCCCCAAUUCUUUCCUAAAUUCAUUAUUUUUUUAUUAUUAUUGUCCUUUGUAUAUGCAUAAUGAUUUUAUGUGCUUGAGGUCUUUUUCUGCUUGUGUGCCUAUUACCAUACAUGUGUCUGGACUAGAGUAACAUAGUUGUAAGGCGCCAUAUGAGUGCUGGGUUCUCUGGAAGAGCUGCCAGUGUUCUUCCCCACUAAGCAAUCUCUUCAGUCCUGAAAGAGUCUUUGUAGAGCAAAGCCUUGUGGAAGUAUGAGCUAUAUAGUAUAAACAGUAUUUACUUGGGUCAUACCAUUCAAAUGUUGAUGUAAACUGAUUUCUAAGAAGCAACCAGAUUAUCAGAAGGGAUAUGUUCGGAACAUUUCCUUGUAGCAGGAAGAUCUAGAAAUACAAUUGUUAGAUCAGCCUCACUGUGGAGAGGAGUAUGCUUCUCUGGAAAGGUCUUCUGAAGGUCUGAUUCCUCCACAUCAAACAGGAACUAUCUCCAGUGGAGUAGAGCUAGGCAGCACUGUCUCCAGGGGUUACCUAGGCAACCCAGGACCCAGCCUUCUCCAGUAAGUUCUGAGUGGGAUAUCUGAGGGAGACACUGAAUGGCACCAGCCUGAAUAACAUUCUUGUUCAUUUCCUUUACAGGACAAGUAUGUGAAUGCCAAAGUCCCCAGUCUGUCCUUUCACUGGCUUCUCUUAGGCCUGGACUGAUUGCAUGUUGCCCAGAAUAGCCAGUAAUGAGAGGUUAUUCUACAGGGUCUCCAACAGUGAGACUCAUAGAAAGCAACAUAAUGCAGGGGGCAUUUGAUUGCCCAUCAACAAUCUAAAUUUUUAACAAAGCUCUGUGGCACAUUAGAUACGUGACUAUAGAUAAAUGUGAUUCUUGUUGUAUCUUAUCUCAUCUGUAACUAAAGGAGCUGAUCAAUGUGAUAUUGAAAAUCUCUGGAUUCUGUGCAUCUAAGGGUAGACCAAUAAAAGCACCAAUAAUUAGCAUGCGCAGUUAUGCCAAGAAGGACAUACAGUGCCUGGGUUACUAUGUUAGGCACAGCCAUCCGAGCACCCACCCAGUCACUAGCACAUGAACCUCCAUUGGUUAUCAUGUUCGAUGCUACAACAGCAGCACCCACUCUCUCAUCCAAUCAUCAGUCAUAUGACAAGAUAGUUCCUGACACUGGAAAGAGAAAGAUGAGUCAAAAUCGAAUCCUCCUGCUAUUGCCCGUAGCUCACUAAGGGGAGGUAAAUAUAUUCGUAACUAAUGGCGAUAUGUGGAAAUUUCAGGAUGUUCAGAACAAAGAAGGUGUUGGAUGAUAUUGUUAUCCUGUGAACCCUGGACCAAGUUACGGGUAGACAAGUGGGGAAGUCAUGGUCACCCUUACUCCCUGUCAUGCAUUAGUACUGACAGUUAUGGGAUUCUUGUGUGUCACAAGUGCCAGCAGGCCUUGAGGAGCAGGGAGAAGGAAAGGGAGAGAACAAAACCCUGUUCUCUACACAGCCAACCACGUAACCAUCAUGGCUUCUUUACUGAAAGACAACCAUAAACUUUCUGGAAAAAAGGAGACAUUACCUAAGAUUGGCCCGCUUUAACUAGCCCAAUGUUAUGAAUUUACAUUUUUUUCAUUAUAAUUGUGGUGUUUUAAAACUGGAGGUUCGUCCUUGUUGGACAAAUAGGCAUUCUUGAGGUUAUGUCACGCAAGCUAAACAUACUCACAAAUAUGCAUGUAAACCCCUCAGUUACAGGUUUCAAUCCUUACACUUCUAUUUUCAAAACACUUUCUGAGGCUUCGCAGUUUUGUCAAUAAUCAACAGCAAAGUAAACAGCUGUGUGGGUGGGGGCGUGCUAAGGAAAAAGAACACUUUCUGCCCACAAAGUUACUCUGGGUAUCACUUCUCUCUCCUUCUCCCUGGCUUGUAUAAUUGAAGAUACUAGUAAGUAAACAGCUCGUGUUCGGAUUUUAAGUGAUGCGUCGCUCACCACUGGGGAAAGCCAUGCCAAGCGUCCCCUCCUCUGGACUUCCAUGGAGCCGACAAGGCGGGGCCUGUAGCUGGCUGACUUCCCAGUACCACCCACCACCUCCAACUCCAGAGAUGCCAUCAGAUCCCACCCAAAGGAGCCAGUGGUCCCCAAGAAACAAUGAGCCAUUCUUACAAGACACAACCGGAGCUCUGUUGCUGUUGUACAGGAAGGUCGGAUAAGAUCUCCCAGCCCCAGCAUUCCUUUGUGUCAGCAGCCACAAGUGGGAUGUUCCUUCUAUGGGCCUCGCAGGGCGAGAGGAAGCAAGCUUCGAAACACAAUGUUCAUUGAAAUCUGCUUUCAUCUGAGGAAUCCCCAAGUGGCUUCUGCUUCGAGGUGCAUUCUGUCUGCAGCUGAGCCCUCUUGAUGCAUUUCCGUUGUUUGUUCUGGAGGGAAGGCAGCACCUUCAUAAGACUAGGUAAAGGGCAUCCCAUUGUGCUGGAUAAGGCAUUAUGUGUCAGGAUGUCUCCAGUGAGUCUGGAGCCUAGAAGGUGCAAUAAAAAUAAAAUAAAAUAAAAAAAAAAA
This is a non-coding RNA of Rattus norvegicus (Norway rat), 7588 nucleotides long. Lineage: Eukaryota; Metazoa; Chordata; Mammalia; Rodentia; Muridae. The record is from RefSeq and is a predicted model, not a curated record.